CAGGCAUUCAAUGCAGGGAAUACACAGUGUGACAGUAUACAAAAAUAAGCAGGUUGAUGGUUUAGAUUUAUGAGACAAGAGAAAGAAAUAGAUGAUGCCAUAAUUCUCCUUUUAUGGAGUUAUGAAAAUUGUUCAUUUUAUAUAAGGUCAGGUGCUUUCAAAUGUCAAUGAGAAAAAUAUUUAAAGGAAGAAUCAAAUCUAAGACGUGGAGAGAUCUUUAUAAAAAUGACCUUCAGGCCAGGCACGGUGGCUCACACCUGUAAUCCCAACACUUUGGGAGGCCAAGGUGGGUGGAUCACAAGGUCGGGGGAUCGAGACCAUCCUGGCCAACAUGGUAAAACCCCGUCUCUACUAAAACACAAAAAAUUAGCCGGGAGUGGUGGUGUGUGCCUGUAGUCCCAGCUACUUGGGAGGCUGAGGCAGGAGAACUGCUUGAAGCCGGGAGGCAGAGGUUGCAGUGAGCUGAGAGCACCACUGCACUCCAGCCUGGCAACAGAGCAAGACUCCAUCUCAAAAAAAAAGAAAAAAAAAAAAUUACCUUCAUUCUGAGAAGGUAUAAUCAUCAACACAUUCUUGAGCACAACUAUGCACAUACACACUUCCAAAUUCACAAACCAUGCUUGUGCACACACUGAUGUCUCUAGAUUCCUUUUUUGAAGAGAUGGCAACUUGGUGUGUCACCCAGGCUGGAGAGCAGUGUUAGGAUCAUAGCUCACUGCAGCCUCAAACUACUGGGGUCACGUGAUCCUCCUACAUCAGGCUCCUCAGUAGCCUGAACUAUAGGAAUGAGCCACCAUGCCCAGCCAAUGUUUUCAUUUUUUUGUAGAGAUGAAAUCUUGCUAUAUUGCCCAGGCUGGUCUUGAACUCCUAGCCCCAAGGAAUCCUCCUGCCUUGCCCUCCAAACGUGCUGAGAUUACAGGUGUGAACCAUUGUGCCCAGCAACUGGAUUCUUUAUUAAGAAGAAAAUUUGUUUGCUGACAUGUAGGCAAUGAAUUGAUAAAUAAUAGUUCAGAAAUUACUAAUUUACAAGUCAAUAUAAAUGAGGUGAGUAAACACAAAAAUAACAGCAUAAAUAAAC
This 1078-nucleotide long non-coding RNA is filed under the name Homo sapiens (human). RNAcentral describes it as "HSALNT0162570". The record is from RNAcentral. Lineage: Eukaryota; Metazoa; Chordata; Mammalia; Primates; Hominidae.